Molecule: ribosomal RNA, 460 nt
Filed under: uncultured bacterium
Lineage: Bacteria
Description: partial 16S ribosomal RNA
Rfam family: Bacterial small subunit ribosomal RNA
Source: RNAcentral
CCUACGGGAGGCAGCAGUGAGGAAUAUUGGUCAAUGGGCUUACGCCUGAACCAGCCAAGUCGCGUGAGGGAAGACUGCCCUAUGGGUUGUAAACCUCUUUUGUCAGGGAGCAACGCCGGCUACGUGUAGCCGGACUCAGAGUACCUGAAGAAAAAGCAUCGGCUAACUCCGUGCCAGCAGCCGCGGUAAUACGGAGGAUGCGAGCGUUAUCCGGAUUUAUUGGGUUUAAAGGGUGCGUAGGCGGAAUGUCAAGUCAGCGGUAAAGUCGCGGGGCUCAACCUCGCGCCGCAGUUGAUACUGGCGUUCUUGAGUGGGCGAGAAGUAUGCGGAAUGCGUGGUGUAGCGGUGAAAUGCAUAGAUAUCACGCAGAACUCCGAUUGCGAAGGCAGCAUACCGGCGCCCAACUGACGCUGAAGCACGAAAGUGUGGGUAUCGAACAGGAUUAGAUACCCUUGUAGUC